RNAcentral lists this ribosomal RNA (1370 nucleotides) under metagenome. RNAcentral describes it as "bacterial SSU rRNA". It matches the Rfam family "Bacterial small subunit ribosomal RNA". The record is from RNAcentral.
GCUGGCGAGUGGCAGACGGGUGAGUAACACGUGAGAAUCUACCUUUUAGUGGGGGAUAGCUCGCCGAAAGGCGGGGUAAUACCGCAUGUGGUCGCAAGAUCAAAACCGCAAGGUGCUAGAAGAGGAGCUCGCGCGCUAUCAGCUAGUUGGUGGGGUAACGGCCUACCAAGGCGACGACGGCUAGCCGAUGUGAGAGCAUGAUCGGCCACAAGGCUACUGAGACACGGAGCCUACACCUACGGGUGGCAGCAACCGGGAAUUUUGCGCAAUGGACGAAAGUCUGACGCAGCGACACCGCAUGUGGGAUGAAGCGCUUCGGCGUGUAACCACUGUGGCAGGGGAAAACUCAAUGAAGGUACCCUGCUAGAAAGCACCAGCUAACCACGUGCCAGAAGCUUCGGUAAUACGUGGGGUGCAAGCGUUAUCCGGAUUUACUGGGCGUAAAGGGUCCGUCGGCGGUUGGUUAAGUUGCUUGUUCAAGCCCGAGGCUCAACUUCGGAUCAGCAAGCAAAACUAAUCAACUCGAGUCUGUUAUAGGUAGCUGGAAUUCUUGGUGGAGGGGUGAAAUCCGUAGAUAUCAAGAGGAACGCCGCGCGCGAAGGCAAGCUACUGGGACACGACUGACGCUCAUGGACGAAAGCUUGGGGAGCAAAGCGGAUUAGAGACCCGUGUAGUCCAAGCUGUAAACACUCCUUGCUAGUUGUUUCCCACCUUGAGUGGGGAGUGACGUAAGCUAACGCGUUAAGCAAGGCGCCUGGGGAUUACGACCGCAAGGUUAAAACUCAAAGGAAUUGACGGGGGAGCGCACAACCGGUGGAGCAUGUGGUUUAAUUCGAUACAAAGCGAAAAACCUUACCAAGAUUUGACAUGUACCUGCACGGCUUUGGAAACAUAGCCUUCUUCGAGAGUGGUACACAGGUGAUGCAUGGCUGUCGUCAGCUCGUGUCGUGAGACGUCCACUUAAGUGUGGUAACGAGCGCAACCCUUGCCAAGUGUUAUAAGUAUCACUUGGGACUGCCCCGCUUCUUGCGGGGAGGAAGGAGAGGAUGAUGUCAAGUCAGCACGUCCCUUACAUCUUGGGCUACACACAUCCUACAAUGGAGCCGACAACGGGUCGCGACGCCGCGAGGCUGAGCUAAUCCUAAUAAACGGCCCCUCAAUUCGGAUUGCAGGCUGCAAUUUGCCUGCAUGAAGUCGGAAUCGGUAGUAAUCGCAAAUCAGCAGGUUGCGGUGAAUACGUUCUCGCUCCUUGUACACACUGCCCGUCAAGCCAGCAAAGUCAGCAGUGCCCGAAGCGGGUGCUCCUAACCCUUACGGGAAGGACCCCACUACGGCAAGGUUGGCGAUGAGGACUAAGUCGUAACAAGGUA